AAAAAGUUUGAAAUGAAAUUGCAAAUAAAGUUCAAAUGUUUUUAUUAGAAUAAAAGCAUUUUCUACACUAAAGUCCUUUGGGAUCCUCAACAUAGCUUCACCUCCCAUUAAAAAUUAUGAGAUCCUGAUUUGUGAGAAAAGAAUUAAUAACAAGAAUUCAUCUGAAGCAAAAAUGAGAGAAUCUAAGUCCAGUAGCAGGAAAAAAGUCAGGAUGAUUGCUGAUGGCCCAGGAUCCAGUCAAAGACCUUGUGAUCAUGGAUGUCAACAACCCUUGUGGGGAUCACAAAUGUCAGUGCCAAAGUAAAGAAGCUGUCUCAGGGCAGAAUCAGAGAAGUGGAUGUUCAGCAAAUUUCUGAGGUUGGCCUAAGGAAACUGAGAAAAUCCUGAGGAAUGACUGACCCACUGCUCAAGCAUGACUAAACUACAAUUAAAAGCAGAGAUGACUCCCACACCCUGGUUCAGUGUGUCUGCUAGCAAGAGAGGCCAAGCUCCAGGGAGGCCCAGCUGAACAUUGUAUACACACCUAUAAAAGAUUUUCAAAGAACUGUGUUCAUGAUUAGGAAGUUAUAAAGCUUGCUCUGUGCAAAAGCCAAAGGCCUCAAUGCCAGCUGUUUUGCUUUUCAGAUACUUCCUUAAAAU
This 639-nucleotide long non-coding RNA is filed under the name Monodelphis domestica (gray short-tailed opossum). RNAcentral's name for it is "lncRNA (ENSMODG00000032390.2)". The record is from RNAcentral. Lineage: Eukaryota; Metazoa; Chordata; Mammalia; Didelphimorphia; Didelphidae.